AAGAUCAAGAUCAAAACUCGUUAAUUCAACCAUUUGAGGAAAAAAUCAAACAAAGCAAAACUAAGCUAACAAAGAAUUAAAAUGCUAGUUUGAACUAAGGGGAACACAAAGUAUAUCAAUGGAUUAAUAAACGGGAUGAAAAGAGACGGACGUGAAAAAUGAUCCUGUAAUUAAUAUAAAUUGGGCAGUCCACGGACAGAAUAACGCCGUUAUGAAUGAAGCUCAAAAUAGCAAAUUUAUCCUGAACGAAAUCAACGGACCGCACGUCAGAUGACAAUCCAACAAUCGAACACUCGUCUCGACUCAACUCUUCAACGGAAAUGGAAACUUCGAACAAGGACAAUCGACUACCUUGAUAGAAAAUGAAAAUAAUGACCUCAUAGUGGACGGCGGUCAGGCAGUGUUUUGAGCGUGCAGGUCGGCUGACUUCUGAGCGAGUGUAACGGUGGGGAUCCAUUCAGAGGUGUUCAAGGUUAGAAGAGGAAGAAGUAAUGGAUGGAGAAGUGGUCGUUUGGGGUGUUGCUUGUCGUUUUGUGAGAGCUUGCUGGUGGGGUUCGGGAGGAGUGACGGCGGCGUGCGGUUGGGUGGUGUGGACUGACUGGAGUGUGGUCGUGGUUUUUGGGGGUCGUUUCUGGUUGUGUUGAGACGAGGAAGAAGAAGCAGGGGCGGAUGGUUGGUGGUUCUGGCGGCAGCGUGAGAGGUCGAUGGUGGAGAUAAGGUGGGGCUGGCUGGUUCUUGAGCGAUCAGCGGCGUGAGAGGUUGCUAAGGUUUUGCUUCUAGUCCUAAGGCUGAGGAAGAUAUGGAAGACGUGGUCUAGGGUUUCCAGGUUCUAUUCUCUUGUUGGUGGAAGAUGAAGAUUAAGUCUAUGGUUUCUUUGUCCUAAGGUUCAAG
Molecule: long non-coding RNA, 891 nt
Filed under: Nicotiana benthamiana
Lineage: Eukaryota; Viridiplantae; Streptophyta; Magnoliopsida; Solanales; Solanaceae
Description: long non-coding RNA (NBEN_LNC039241)
Source: RNAcentral